UCAGAUGGCUGGAUGAUCGCCGCUUGCCUUAGCAGGGGGAGGAAAGUCCGGGCUCCACGGAAAUGCGAUGCCGGUUAAUGGCCGGCGGGGGUGACCCUAGGGAAAGUGCCACAGAAAGUAUACCGCCUGACUUUAAUGACAGGUAAGGGUGAAAGGGUGCGGUAAGAGCGCACCGCGCGGCUGGCAACAGCGGCGGCAUGGUAAACCCCAUCGGGAGCAAAACCAAAUAGGGACGUCCAGCGCAGAGUUCUCUCGUGCGCAGGCUGGUUUUCCGAGCUGACGUCCGGGUUGGUUGCUUGAGGUAUUUGGUAACAGGUAUCCUAGAUGAAUGAUCAUCCCCUGUUUUCAGGGACAGAACCCGGCUUAUAGGCCAUCUGCCUUA
RNAcentral lists this RNase P RNA (382 nucleotides) under Sneathiella marina. RNAcentral's name for it is "Sneathiella sp. PHK-P5 RNase P RNA component class A". It matches the Rfam family "Bacterial RNase P class A". Rfam says of the family: Ribonuclease P (RNase P) is a ubiquitous endoribonuclease, found in archaea, bacteria and eukarya as well as chloroplasts and mitochondria. Its best characterised activity is the generation of mature 5'-ends of tRNAs by cleaving the 5'-leader elements of precursor-tRNAs. Cellular RNase Ps are ribonucleoproteins. Lineage: Bacteria; Pseudomonadati; Pseudomonadota; Alphaproteobacteria; Sneathiellales; Sneathiellaceae. The record is from RNAcentral.